UUGGUGACCAGCGGAGGGAUCAUUACCGAGUUUACAACUCCCAAACCCAAUGUGAACGUUACCAAACUGUUGCCUCGGCGGGAUCUCUGCCCCGGGUGCGUCGCAGCCCCGGACCAAGGCGCCCGCCGGAGGACCAACCAAAACUCUUAUUGUAUACCCCCUCGCGGGUUUUUUACUAUCUGAGCCAUCUCGGCGCCCCUCGUGGGCGUUUCGAAAAUGAAUCAAAACUUUCAACAACGGAUCUCUUGGUUCUGGCAUCGAUGAAGAACGCAGCGAAAUGCGAUAAGUAAUGUGAAUUGCAGAAUUCAGUGAAUCAUCGAAUCUUUGAACGCACAUUGCGCCCGCCAGUAUUCUGGCGGGCAUGCCUGUCCGAGCGUCAUUUCAACCCUCGAACCCCUCCGGGGGGUCGGCGUUGGGGAUCGGCCCUUUACGGGGCCGGCCCCGAAAUACAGUGGCGGUCUCGCCGCAGCCUCUCCUGCGCAGUAGUUUGCACACUCGCAUCGGGAGCGCGGCGCGUCCACAGCCGUUAAACACCCCAAACUUCUGAAAUGUUGACCUCGGAUCAGGUAGGAAUACCCGCUGAACUUAAGCAUAUCAAUAAG
RNAcentral lists this ribosomal RNA (602 nucleotides) under Trichoderma virens. RNAcentral's name for it is "eukaryotic LSU rRNA". The stretch from base 226 to 379 matches the Rfam family "5.8S ribosomal RNA". The record is from RNAcentral. Lineage: Eukaryota; Fungi; Ascomycota; Sordariomycetes; Hypocreales; Hypocreaceae.